RNAcentral lists this ribosomal RNA (257 nucleotides) under uncultured bacterium. RNAcentral's name for it is "partial 16S ribosomal RNA". It matches the Rfam family "Bacterial small subunit ribosomal RNA", at positions 524 to 776 of the family's 1533-position model. The record is from RNAcentral.
UACAGAGACCUCAAGCGUUAUCCGGAAUCAUUGGGCGUAAAGCGUACCGAUAGGUGGUUUUACAAGUCAGAAGUGAAAUCUCUCAGCUUAACUGGGAGACUGUCUUUUGAAACUGUAAAACUAGAGGGGCAAAGAGGAAGCUGGAACGAACGGUGUAGUAGUGAAAUGCGUUGAUAUCGUUCGGAACACCAAUAGCGUAGGCAGGCUUCUGGGUGCCACCUGACACUGCUAGGACGAGAGCGUGGGGAGCGAACAGG